UCUAAGUCCAUUGGAACAUGGUGUCAUAGAGGGUGAGAAUCCCGUAUGCGACCGUGGCUCGAGCCCAUGUGAAGCCUCUUCGACGAGUCGAGUUGUUUGGGAAUGCAGCUCAAAAUGGGUGGUAAAUUUCAUCUAAAGCUAAAUACUGGCUGGAGACCGAUAGCGCACAAGUAGAGUGAUCGAAAGAUGAAAAGCACUUUGGAAAGAGAGUCAAACAGUACGUGAAAUUGUUGAAAGGGAAGCGCUUGCAACCAGACCUGCCCGUAGGCGAUCAGCCGCUGUUCUCAGCGGUGUACUCGCUCUGCGAUCAGGCCAGCAUCGGUUUCGGCGGUCGGAUAAAGGCCUUGGGAAUGUAGCUUCCCUUCGGGGGAGUCUUAUAGCCCUCGGUGCAAUGCGGCCAGCCGGGACCGAGGACCGCGCUCCGGCUAGGAUGCUGGCGUAAUGGUUGUAAGCGACCCGUCUUGAAACACGGACCAAGGAGUCUAACAUCUAUGCGAGUGUUUGGGUGUCAAACCCAUACGCGGAAUGAAAGUGAACGGAGGUGAGAACCCUCAAGGGCGCAUCAUCGACCGAUCCAGAUGUCUUCGGAUGGAUUUGAGUAUGAGCAUAGCUGUUGGGACCCGAAAGAUGGUGAACUAUGCCUGAAUAGGGUGAAGCCAGAGGAAACUCUGGUGGAGGCUCGCAGCGGUUCUGACGUGCAAAUCGAUCGUCAAAUUUGGGUAUAGGGGCGAAAGACUAAUC
This 741-nucleotide ribosomal RNA is filed under the name Xanthoparmelia pedregalensis. RNAcentral describes it as "eukaryotic LSU rRNA". It matches the Rfam family "Eukaryotic large subunit ribosomal RNA", at positions 180 to 936 of the family's 3401-position model. The record is from RNAcentral. Lineage: Eukaryota; Fungi; Ascomycota; Lecanoromycetes; Lecanorales; Parmeliaceae.